GUGCUCACUUCAGCAGCACAUAUACUAAAAUUAGAACGAUACAGAGAAGAUUAGCAUGGAUGACAUGCAAAUUCAUGAAGCAUUCCAUAUUUUU
Molecule: small nuclear RNA, 94 nt
Organism: Loxodonta africana (African savanna elephant)
Lineage: Eukaryota; Metazoa; Chordata; Mammalia; Proboscidea; Elephantidae
Source: Ensembl